ACCAGUCUCUACCAGUGGUAGUGUUAUAACCAUAACCAGUCUCUACCAGUGGUAGUGUUAUAACCAGUCUCUACCAGUGGUAGUGUUAUAACCAUAACCAGUCUCUACCAGUGGUAGUGUUAUAACCAGUCUCUACCAGUGGUAGUGUUAUAACCAGUCUCUACCAGUGGUGGUGUUAUAACCACUACCAGUCUCUACCAGUGAUAGUGUUAUAACCAGUCUCUACCAGUGGUAGUAUUAUAACUAGUCUCUACCAGUGGUAGUGUUAUAACCAGUCUCUACCAGUGGUGGUGUUAUAACCACUACCAGCCUCUACCAGUGAUAGUGUUAUAACCAUUCUCUACCAGUGGUAGUGUUAUAACCAGUCUCUACCAGUGGUGGUGUUAUAACCACUACCAGUCUCUACCAGUGAUAGUGUUAUAACCAGUCUCUACCAGUGGUAGUGUUAUAACUAGUCUCUACCAGUGGUAGUGUUAUAACCAGUCUCUACCAGUGGUAGUGUUAUAACCAGUCUCUACCAGUGGUAGUGUUAUAACCAGUCUCUACCUGUGGUAGUGUUGUUAUAACCAGUCUCUCCCAGUGGUAGUGUUAUAAUCAGUCUCCACCAGUGGUAGUGUUAUAACCAGUCUCCACCAGUGGUAGGGUUGUUAUAACCAGUCUCCACCAGUGGUAGUGUUAUAACCAUUACCAGUCUCUACCAGUGGUAGUGUUAUAACCAGUCUCCAACAGUUGUAGUGUUGUUAUAACCAGUCUCCACCAGUGGUAGUGUUAUAACCAUUACCAGUCUCUACCAGUGGUAGUGUUAUAACCAUAACCAGUCUCUACCAGUGGUAGUGUUAUAACCAGUCUCUACCAGUGGUAGUGUUAUAACCAGUCCCUACCAGUGGUGGUGUCAUAACCACUACCAGUCUCUACCAGUGAUAGUGUUAUAACCAGUCUCUACCAGUGGUAGUGUUAUCACUAGUCUCUACCAGUGGUAGUGUUGUUAUAACCAGUUUCUACCAGUUGUAGUGUUGUUAUAACCAGUCUCUACCAGUGGUAGUGUUGUUAUAACCAGUCUCUACCAGUGGUAGUGUUAUAACCAGUCUCUACCAGUGGUAGUGUUAUAACCAGUCUCUACCAGUAGGUAGUGUUGUUAUAACCAGUCUCUCCCAGUGAUAGUUCAGCUGAACUGCAGUCUAAAUGUAGCUAUCUGACCUUUCCGUCCUGCUACUCCAGAAACAGCAACACCUGUUUACUUACAUUAUGCUGUAGUUGUUCAGACUUCUCUUGAUUAUUGUGGAUCCAGUGAAGAGAGAACAGAAGGUUUGUUUAUUUUGUUUAUUUUAUUUAACGAGGCAAGUCAGUUAAGAACAAACUCUUAUUUCCGAUGACGGCCUAGGAACAGUGGGUUAACUGGCCUAGGAACAGUGGGUUAACUGGCCUAGGAACAGUGGGUUAACUGGCCUAGGAACAGUGGGUUAACUGGUCUAGGAACAGUGGGUUAACUGGUCUAGGAACAGUGGGUUAACUGGC
This is a long non-coding RNA of Oncorhynchus tshawytscha (Chinook salmon), 1515 nucleotides long. The record is from Ensembl. Lineage: Eukaryota; Metazoa; Chordata; Actinopteri; Salmoniformes; Salmonidae.